Molecule: ribosomal RNA, 253 nt
Filed under: uncultured bacterium
Lineage: Bacteria
Description: partial 16S ribosomal RNA
Rfam family: Bacterial small subunit ribosomal RNA
Source: RNAcentral
UACGGAGGGGGCUAGCGUUGUUCGGAAUUACUGGGCGUAAAGCGCGCGUAGGCGGCUUUGUAAGUUAGAGGUGAAAGCCCGGAGCUUAACUCCGGAACUGCCUUUAAGACUGCAUUGCUAGAAUCGUGGAGAGGUGAGUGGAAUUCCGAGUGUAGAGGUGAAAUUCGUAGAUAUUCGGAAGAACACCAGUGGCGAAGGCGACUCACUGGACACGUAUUGACGCUGAGGUGCGAAAGCGUGGGGAGCAAACAGG